This 510-nucleotide ribosomal RNA is filed under the name uncultured Roseibacillus sp. RNAcentral describes it as "bacterial SSU rRNA". It matches the Rfam family "Bacterial small subunit ribosomal RNA", at positions 88 to 599 of the family's 1533-position model. Lineage: Bacteria; Pseudomonadati; Verrucomicrobiota; Verrucomicrobiia; Verrucomicrobiales; Verrucomicrobiaceae. The record is from RNAcentral.
AUUCUUAGUGGCGGACGGGUUAGUAACACGUGAGAAUCCUACCCUUAAGUGGGGAAUAGCCUUUCGAAAGGAAGAUUAAUGCCCCAUGGUCUCUACGGAGUAAAGAUGCCUUCGGGUGUCGCUUAAGGAUGGGCUCGCGGCCUAUCAGCUAGUUGGUGAGGUAAGAGCUCACCAAGGCAACGACGGGUAGCUGGUCUGAGAGGACGAUCAGCAACACUGGAACUGAGACACGGUCCAGACACCUACGGGUGGCAGCAGUCGAGAAUCAUUCACAAUGGACGAAAGUCUGAUGGUGCAACGCCGCGUGGAGGAUGACGGCCCUAGGGUUGUAAACUCCUGUCAUCAGGGAGUAAGACUUAUUCGUUAAUAGCGUGUAAGUUUGAUAGUACCUGAAGAGGAAGGGACGGCUAACUUCGUGCCAGCAGCCGCGGUAAUACGAAGGUCCCAAGCGUUGUUCGGAAUAACUGGGCGUAAAGCGUGUGUAGGCCGCGCGGAAAGUCGGAUGUGAAA